RNAcentral lists this long non-coding RNA (809 nucleotides) under Nicotiana tabacum (common tobacco). RNAcentral's name for it is "long non-coding RNA (NTAB_LNC008627)". Lineage: Eukaryota; Viridiplantae; Streptophyta; Magnoliopsida; Solanales; Solanaceae. The record is from RNAcentral.
AUUAUUUUCAUUCAUAGGAGACGCACUUCCUAGUUCAAAAUCAUUAAAGUUUCACCCAUAGGAGACGCACUUCCUAAGUUUAUUUUUACCCAUAGGAGACGCACUUCCUAAGUUUAUUUUUACCCAUAGGAGAUACACUUCCUAAGUUUAUCUUCAUGCAUAGGAGGCACACUUCCUAAAUUAAGUUUUCAUUAAUAGGAGACACACUUCCUAGUUUAAAUCAUUAAAGCCUUACCCAUAGGAGACACACUUCCUAAGUUAUUUUAUUUUCCUACAUAGGAGACGCAUUUCCUAAAUUAAGAUUUCAUUCAUAAGAGAUGCACUUCUUAGUUUAAAAUCAUUAAAGUUUUACCCAUAGGAGACGCACUUCCUAAGUUAUUUUUACCCCUAGGAGACGCACUUCCUAAGUUUAAUUUCAUGCAUAGGAGACACACUUCCUAAAUUAAGAUUUCAUGCAUAGGAUACGCACUUCCUAAAUUAAGUUUUCAUUAAUAGGAGACGCACUUCCUAGUUCAAAAUCAUUAAAGUUUUACCCCUAGGAGACGCACUUCCUAUGUUUAUUUUUACCCCUAGGAGACGCACUUCCUAAGUUUAUUUUUACCCCUAGGAGACGCACUUCAUAAGUUUAAUUUCAUGCAUAGGAGACGCACUUCCUAAAUUAAGAUUUCGUGCAUAGGAAACGCACUUCCUAAAUUAAGAUUUCAUUAACAGGAGACGCACUUCCUAGUUUAAAAUCAUUAAAGUUUUACCCCUAGGAGACGCACUUCCUAAGAUUAUUUUACCCAUAGGAGACGCACUUCCUAAGUUUU